Non-coding RNA from Galeopterus variegatus (Sunda flying lemur), 74 nucleotides. The record is from the annotation of a RefSeq genome assembly. NCBI's taxonomy places the organism in Eukaryota, Metazoa, Chordata, Mammalia, Dermoptera, Cynocephalidae.
GGCCAGUUAGCUCAGUUGGUUAGAGUGCAGGGCUGAUAACACUGAGGUCCAGGGUUCUAUCCCGGUACUGGCCA